This 233-nucleotide ribosomal RNA is filed under the name uncultured bacterium. Its description in RNAcentral is "partial 16S ribosomal RNA". It matches the Rfam family "Bacterial small subunit ribosomal RNA", at positions 100 to 334 of the family's 1533-position model. The record is from RNAcentral.
CGGGACGGGUGAGUAAUGUCUGGGAAACUGCCUGAUGGGAGGGGGUAACUACUGGAAACGGUAGCUAAUACCGCAUAACGUCGCAAGACCAAAGAGGGGGACCUUCGGGCCUCUUGCCAUCGGAUGUGCCCAGAUGGGAUUAGCUAGUAGGUGGGGUAACGGCUCACCUAGGCGACGAUCCCUAGCUGGUCUGAGAGGAUGACCAGCCACACUGGAACUGAGACACGGUCCAG